This 604-nucleotide ribosomal RNA is filed under the name uncultured Gammaproteobacteria bacterium. Its description in RNAcentral is "bacterial SSU rRNA". It matches the Rfam family "Bacterial small subunit ribosomal RNA", at positions 55 to 648 of the family's 1533-position model. The record is from RNAcentral. Lineage: Bacteria; Pseudomonadati; Pseudomonadota; Gammaproteobacteria.
AUGCAAGUCGAACGGUAACAGGAAGCAGCUUGCUGCUUUGCUGACGAAUGGCGGACGGGUGAGUAAUGUCUGGGGAUCUGCCUGAUGGAGGGGGAUAACUACUGGAAACGGUAGCUAAUACCGCAUAACGUCGCAAGACCAAAGAGGGGGACCUUCGGGCCUCUUGCCAUCAGAUGAACCCAGAUGGGAUUAGCUAGUAGGUGGGGUAACGGCUCACCUAGGCGACGAUCCCUAGCUGGUCUGAGAGGAUGACCAGCCACACUGGAACUGAGACACGGUCCAGACUCCUACGGGAGGCAGCAGUGGGGAAUAUUGCACAAUGGGCGCAAGCCUGAUGCAGCCAUGCCGCGUGUAUGAAGAAGGCCUUCGGGUUGUAAAGUACUUUCAGCGAGGAGGAAGGUGGUGAGCUAAAUACGCUCAUCAAUUGACGUUACUCGCAGAAGAAGCACCGGCUAACUCCGUGCCAGCAGCCGCGGUAGUACGGAGGGUGCAAGCGUUAAUCGGAAUUACUGGGCGUAAAGCGCACGCAGGCGGUCUGUCAAGUCGGAUGUGAAAUCCCCGGGCUCAACCUGGGAACUGCAUCCGAAACUGGCAGGCUUGAGUC